AAAACUCGAAAAAGAUGCCCCAAACGACUCCUGCCCUCAGCGUCGCGCCACAGACCGUCCCUUCCUCCGAGGCGAGCCACAGGUGAACCUCUCCAAGGUCGGAAAUGACAUCAUUCCAAGCGCCGAAUUCCCACUUCCUAGGUAAAAUGUCAAAUGACCUGUCCCCCCACCCAACAGACGUCGUUCUCCUAAACGUACCCAUUAUCCGGCAGUUGUACCACUGGGACUGCGGUUUGGCGUGCUCGAGAAUGGUAUUAAAAUAUCUACAUCCAGUGAGUGAAGAUGAGUUCCAGAGAGCUUGCUGCGAACUGAAAUUGACAGAAAGCGUGUGGACUAUUGACCUCGCUUAUCUCAUGUGCCAGCUAGGCGUAAAACACUGUUUCUGCACACAAACAUUGGGUGUAGACAAGGGCUUUAAAAACCAGUCUUUCUACAAAAAGCAUUUUGAUUCUGAAGAGGACAGAGUAAAUGAACUCUUUUUGAAAGCAGAGAGCAGAGGCAUAGUGGUAAAGAAAUGCUCUGUGACUGUUCAGGAGAUCCAGGCUCAUCUGAACCAUGGACAUGUGGCCAUUGUGCUGGUAAAUGCUGUAGUGUUAGUGUGUGAACUCUGCUCGACUUCAGUCAAGUACUGCUGCUUUCUACCUGUGAAUCAGAAGUGUUUCUGCAGUGCACCUGAUUACCAAGGUCACUUUGUGGUAGUGUGUGGAUUUAAUCGUACCGCUGGGUGCAUCUUCUAUAAUAACCCUGCUUAUUCUGACCGUAAGUACUGCACAUACAACUGAUAGAAAUAUUAAACCAUUAACAAAAGAUAUACUAUCAAGUAAAACAUUUACCAGUCUAGUGACAUCCUUUGUGAAUUGCAGUUUUUUUUAUGAAAUAUUUUAUAUGGGUACAUUCAAAUCCAUUUGUUUGCCAAGACCAAAUGUGUGUGAAAAAUCAUAAUUUAUAUUUAUUUACUGUUUGGUUUAGUUUCUUAAUUAUUCUUGAUGAAGUAAAAAUUGCUGCGAGGUGUGUGAAGCUGGAAACAUAAUCCUGAAACACUUAAUUCAUUGGUCUAAUAUAUAAUGAUAGAAGAAGUUAAUUAUUCCUUGACCAAGUCCACACUAGACUAGUUAAUUAUGCAGAUAAAUAUUUUAAAACAUUUGUGUAGCACAUUAGCUUUUAUUUUCUUUUAUUUCUUGUUGACAGAAUCACUAUAACACAUUGCAUUUCUGCAGCAAUAAAGCCCUGGCCUUUGAAUAAGUUUAACAUCUUACUCAAGCAAUGCCACCCACAAUCCAAAACACUUCCUACAGAUGCUUUUUUGAACUGUUUUCUCCUGCAGUUCAGAAGAUCAAAUGAAACAUUUACAUUUCUGACAUUUGGUUGAGACAUUUUUUAUCUCAUUUUAUAUACCCGAGCAAUUGGGGCCUUGCUCAAGGGCCCAGCAGUGGCAGCUUGGUGGACCUGGGAUUUUACUAAGCUACCACUUCCCACACCUCCUGUUCAUUUGAGUUUGUGGUCUGGCCCAGAUAAAGUGUCUGCUGUACAAGCAUUAGCAAUUUUGAAGAAGCAAGAAUGAGCUAUGGUACAGAUGAGGACAUUCUUUUCAUCUUCAAGGAAAGCUGAUCACUAGAUGGAACUUUUUCUUUUGUUUCAUGGUUAGGGCUGUUUUGUAGACAUUUAAAAUAUAUAAAUAUGAUUAUAAUUAAUAAACAAAUAAGUGCGGAGACCUCCAGAAGCUAGCAAAUGUAUAUAGCCCACAUUCAUGAGCACACACCUUGACUUCUGAAUGAACAAACAAAAAGGCUGAAACUUGGAAUCACCUAAUGCAAAUAGAACAGGUAUGGCUGUAAUGUGACUUUAGUAUUAAGGUAAACCAUAAUAAAACAUAAAAGUGUUAAUGCACAAAUAUAUAAGCAGUAUAGACCCACAUUGUUCUACAGAAAAUGGUAAAUAAGGUGCACAAUAAUUAAUGCUACAACUACAUGCAUAUACAACUACUGAGCAGCAGUAAGUGGUUAAUGGGAGAGAGAAGAAUGACCAGACUGAUUCUUAAAUAAAAUAAAAAUUUUAUAAGAUAAAAAUGAUUGUUCCGGAAAGAGCUUCAUGAAUUAGAACUGACCGGAAGGCUUUGGUAACUCUAACCAUUCUUUACAACUGUUGUAAGCAAAAACGCAGUCCAAUAUGCGCAUGCUGAACCUUGGAGUGGAUAGGAUAUAACCCAUCAAGUGGAUAAUUGAAUAAGUGUUCGGGUUGUAACACACAGAUAUGAGUGGCCUGUCGUGUUCCUGAAUAGCAAAAAGUUCUGCCAUUUUCUUGUAAGCGUUAUUUUAUGUUGAUUUAAUAUUCAGUGCCUAAAUUGAUACAAAUUACUGCAUUAUUUGUAAAAAUGUGUUGUGAUCAUCUGAAACUAUAUAAUUAUACACUUGCCAUUUACGUCUUUGUGGACUGUUAGGUACUGUAUAUUUGUGCAUUUUAUGCUUGUAUGUCAUUUUGUUACAGUUUACAAUUAGAUUCAGCCUGUGAGAUGAGUUCUGUUCACAGUUUUAUUCACUAUUUCACAAAAUCGUUUCUACAAAAUGUAUGGCCUGUUUUAUAAAAUCAGUACACAUUUUCCAUUUGCCACACUUUAUGUAACAUCUUGUAACAUCUUGCUGAAUCAAAUCUCUAGAAUUAAUAAUUCCAUUAACCAUAAUUUAUGGCCAGUUAGAGCCCCAGUAUAUAUCACUGUUUUUAAGGCAUUGUGUUUAUCUGCUUGAAAUCAGCUCAUUUAAUCUCUCACAAUUUGUAAGUUAAGAAAUUAGUACACUCUGAGCAAGUGUUGUUUCUGUGAUGUUUACCUGAACAACCAACAAACAUCAUUGUCUUAUUUACUUUAGAAAGCUUUUUGUUUAAAAACAAUGCAUUAAGCAUUAUAACAAUAUAUCAUUAAGCAUUGUAUGUCUGCAACUGUUGAAUCUGUAAAUUUUUUGUUUUUACUUUUUGUGUAUUGUGUAUUUGUCUUUAUUUUUUUCACUAAUUAAAAGAUGUCUUUGUUAA
Molecule: RNA transcript, 3021 nt
Organism: Hemibagrus wyckioides
Lineage: Eukaryota; Metazoa; Chordata; Actinopteri; Siluriformes; Bagridae
Gene: gucd1
Gene name: guanylyl cyclase domain containing 1
Exons: 6
Source: RefSeq, a predicted model, not a curated record